Molecule: long non-coding RNA, 623 nt
Organism: Aethina tumida (small hive beetle)
Lineage: Eukaryota; Metazoa; Arthropoda; Insecta; Coleoptera; Nitidulidae
Exons: 3
Source: RefSeq, a predicted model, not a curated record
UUUUGUGGUAUGCCUUUUCAUUUGAAGAAAUAAAAUAGCAAUAACCCUUCUAAAGUUCAACCGUAUAAUGCAUGCAUGCAUAUAUUUAAACAUUAACAUUAGCAAAGGAAAAAUUAUAAGCGAAUUGUGUUUAUCUUCACUACAAUCAAUCAACAUUAAUUUUUACCACGUUUAGUUUAAUUAAAAUUAAAUGAAUAAUAUUAUUUGGGAUAUUUGAAACCUCUCAACAAUUUUGACCCAUGCGCUUGGUUAUUUGGAUCAAUGUUUAAGCGCAAGUGCCAAAAGGACAAAAUUGUAGGAUACACACACAAAAUUCUAGAACGUCGACGUUUACGAUCGUGUCCUGUUUUAAGAAAAUGCCAUCCCCGUGCGAUGAUUGCAAAGAGACCUGCAGCGAAGGAAAUUCACAAUGCGGCAAGGAUUGCAAAUGUGGAGACGCCUGCAAAUGCUCUGAUGCAACAGGCAAGAAAUGUGGAAAAGGGAGUGGGGAGUCAGAUAAAUAAUUGCUGUCAUGCUUUUAAACAUAUAUGAUUUAAGACCAAUUUUACUGUAUUCUAUUGUUUUAGCGAAUAGUUGUCUUUUAAAUGUUGUGUGAUAAAACAAUAAAUGAUUAUCGAAGACUA